UAAAGAUAAGAAAGAAAGAAAAAAUUGGCUACCUUUAUCGCACAAUAUUACUACAUAAAUAUCUUGAUUCGUCAAUAACUAGCGACCUGAGGCCCAAUUCUCAUGCAAUCGAGGUUCAUAUCAUCAAUUUUCUAUAAUAUUUUUCGAAGGUUUAAUCGGAGUCCAAAUCGAAAAAGUUCGAUUUAUCGGUGCAGUUUUUCGGUUGAAGUUUUUCGAUUGUGAAAAGGUUUGGAAAGAUUUAUGAAAUGAACUUCGAUUGAGUGGGAAUCGGCCCCCUGGGGUCUAAAUAAAAGUGAAAAUACCGAAAUCCGUUGCAUAAAGCUUAGAAACAGACAGACGCGCAUGUGGACUUUGUUUUAUACUAUAUAGCACAUAAGGAAAAGUGUCACGGGAUCUAUCUACACAACAAAUAACUAAAUCUUAUUAGCUACCAACAUUCAUGUAGUAUUUCGUUAAUUACCUGAAGGUACUUAAAAAACUUUCUACUAGUCAUGGUAAAAACUUACCUUUAUGCAAAAGUAGUUUCAUCACAAAAAGCAAGGUUUAAAUAAAGAAAAAUAGAAAUGAAACAGUGAAGGGCUGUAACUAUUGUCACGUGGUCAGCUAAACUGAAGUGGACACUCCGCGAUCGUCUGUCCGACCCAGGACAGAGAAACACAUGGAGCCAACAAUCUUAUUUUCAUAUAAUUUUAUUGAAAUAUUCUUUUUUACAUGUAACACGUGAUUUUUAAAUAAAUGUGGAUUCGAUUCCCGCUUGAUUCCAGAAUAGCUCGACGAUUUAGUGAAAAUUUCGGUAUAACAUUGCCUUGAGUGAGUGACCGAGCCCAGGGACCACAUUUUCGUGUCCGUUUCGCGCGGUUUCCAGCAUCGCUAACUGUCAGACUGUCAAUGUUUUUAUGCUUUUGAACAUUCUUAUCCUAUUUACUUUGUUAUUUAAAUUAGGUAGGAACAUUAUACUGUCGCUCGUUAUAACUGCAACCUUGUUAAGGAUUUUUUUGGGAAAAAACUAGAAAUAUAUAAUUGACUAAUACAAUAAAAUUGUAGUCGAAAGUCUAAAAGAAAGUUAUUUUUGUAUAUACUUUUGCAACAAAGUUUGCGUAGAUUAGAUUAAGAAAAUUGUUUUAAAAAGUCGAUUUAGGUAGAUUCUUAAUUAUACCUCAUAAACAAUAAAAUGCUUUUUUUCAAUGUUCGUGUUUUGAUAGUAUAUUGUUUUGAUGCAAUAAAGUGUAUUUUAUUUACUCCAUUUUAAGUAUCCGCAAGUUCAUACUCAAUGUUAAAAAAAGGUAGGCACGAUUCGGAAUAAAACAAUUUCUAUCAUCAUGAAUGUUAAUUCAUAUUUAAUAAAUAAAUACAUUUUCCUUGUUUUUUUUUUUUAAUAAAACUAUUGUAAGUGACUUUGCUGUAGCAUGUUUCAAUUCAACAACUUACUAUACAACAUACAAGUUGACGCGAACGCGUUUAUUGCUUAAUCUAAAUUUAUGUAACAAUUAUAUAUAACUAAGAGAUAUAUAUUAGAAAUGUUCUUCAAUAUACAUAGAUGUUAAUAAUAAGUUAGUAUGUUACAGACAGAAAACUCGAGCUAAAAUUAACUAAACUAAACAUAUACAGUACAGUAGACAUAGAAAAUGAUAGAGGCACAAUUUUGACUCAAAAAAAUUAUCCAAAUUAUGCAUAGUAGGCAUAGAAGAUGACACUAAAAUACCAAAAUGACACAUGUCAAAAUUUAAUUUAAUAAACAAUCGUUCUCAAAUAUAUUGUUAGGAUAAUAUUUGUAGUUUCAUUUCGAAAACAUACACACAAAUCUAUGUACCAUAACGUCAAUUUACAGGAAGAACCAAGUGUUUUCGAACACAAAAAAAUACAUCUUUGGUUUCAAGCGAAAUUUACAAAAGCAUUUACACACAAAAAUUAAUUGACGUGGUCCGAUUGAAAUAAACAUUACGAUAUUUACUCCCGUAUUUUAUUUACUUAAAUAAAAAUUUACACACUUAAAAAAUACGUAUACGAUCAACCAUUGUGAUAUUUAGAGGUUACUAACCGUUGUAAAGACAAAACGGUUUUAGGGUGGAAUUGAUAUGAAAAAUAUAUUGUAUAAAUUAAUCGGACCACGUCAAAACUAUCACAAAAUAAUAUUCCAUUUGAAUAUCGACGCAUAUCGCUUGAAAUACGCCCACGAUUUAAUUUAAACGCAAUUCGAAUCGUAAAUGAUUCGUAAGGAAUGAUGGUUUCGUAAAGUCCGGACGAUCGUGUACCAUCACCGUAUUCAAAACCGAAAUUAAAUAUCACUAUUGAAAUAUGGAAAUAAUACACCAGCCCUUAUUAUUUAAUUAUAUCAACCUUACACCACAUGAAAAUGGUUAAUUGCAACGAAACAUUUAUCAAUUCCUUUCUUUUAUCAUGCAUUACAAUUUUAUUUUAUUAUUGCGGACUUUUGAAAGUCCGCUUCAACACCUCGUUAGACUUUAAUAAAAAAGUAAAGUAAAAAGGGCACCAGAAAUAUUUUAUAAGUAAAUACAGUCGAAAUUGUAUGUAAUAACUUCAUAACUUUACGAAAAUCAAAAUUAUAUCUAUACAUUUCUGUAACACACAAGAGAUUCAGAGUAAAAAUUAAUCAAUUCCGAAAGAAAUCUGAAUAGAAUGAAAUCUCAAUCAUAAAAAUUACAUUUAUAAAUGUACUUAAAUAAUUUUGAAAUAUCACUUUUUACAUUUCAAAUUAACACAAAUGUUAUCAUAAAAGUUGGAGACGCAGACAGAGAAAGCCAUAUAUUUCGCUAUAUAUUCCAUUUCGCUCAUUCAAGAGAAAAUCGUAUUAGAAAUAAACUAGCAGUAAUGGGGCAGAGCACUAAUAUCUUUCAUCCCGUGGCGUAGUGAAUAGUUCUAUUUCAUGUGGCUACGCGAACACCGCUUUUAUAGUUUUCUUUCUGUCGUAAAUUUAAAGGAAAUUUAGGAGUCCAUUCUCAAUGAAUCGGUCAUUCUUUAUUCUUCUAUCUACCCACGUAUCAAACAGUAGAAACAACAAGCCUACAUAACCGGUAAAAAGUCAACAGUUAAGUAGUUACGUUAAAUUUUUAAUUAGUCAACACUUUUGACCGACCGCGAUUAAUUGGAUACAAUUCUAUCUCACGAAGUCGUUACAGUAUGUUUAUGUUCAAGUACAUAUGUACUUAAACGGCCAUCAAUAAACCAUUUAAAUUUCAAUUGAGAAACAUAUAUAUGUUUCUCAAAAUAAAUGACAUUGUUGUUUUUACAUAACCAUACCGUUGUUGUUAAACUUCGAGCUUUGAACACAACUAAUUGUAUAUUAACAGGAUUCAGUACGAAUCCUUUCUUAUAGCUGACGUUUCGUGUGACGUUGCCGUCGCCGUGGUCUAAAUCGUAAGAUGACAAAAACACACUUUUAUGGUAAAGAUGUAUGCCAUCGUAUACCGAUGACAAAUUUUUGUACAACUCUCAAAUUAUUUAAUAACAAAUUUCAUAACAACGACAUGAGAUAGAUAUUCUGAUCGUUUCAAUUAUUAUCCUUGUCAAAGUAAUUUAACUGCCAGUAUUUUUUUAUAUAUCACGGAUCGGCCAUCUAUCAUAAUUAUAAAUACUUAGAACUAUUCAUAGGUAUACAUGGUAAUACAAUGGAUAGGAGCGGUAACGUUGACGAUACGAACAGACAGACAAAUAAACGUAUAUAGAUCGAAAAGCAGCCUUUGAUCAGUCGGAAACGAAUAGGAUUGGAAGAUCUUAUAUUUAUUAUAAUAUAAUAUUUUUGUUAUUUGGACAAAUGCAUCGAAAAGACUAGAUUACUACAUUUACGAAUAUUCAAGUUUUUUUUUCAACCCAAACAACGUAAGGGAUAUAGUGGACCUAGCCUAUUUUUAAAACUCUUCAAAUGACCUAUUAAGCUAAUAAUAAUCAUCAACAAUAGUGAAUAAAUUCGUAUUU
Molecule: long non-coding RNA, 3933 nt
Organism: Plodia interpunctella (Indianmeal moth)
Lineage: Eukaryota; Metazoa; Arthropoda; Insecta; Lepidoptera; Pyralidae
Exons: 2
Source: RefSeq, a predicted model, not a curated record